GAGGGAUAGCGUCUGGAAACGGACGAUAAUACCUCAUAAUCCGGAAACGGCAAAGGCGCAUCGGGGGAGACCCUGGUGCGUCGCUUGAGGAGCGGCCUACAUCAGAUUAGGUAGUUGGUAGGGUAAUAGCCUACCAAGCCUAUGAUCUGUAGCUGAUUUGAGAGGAUGAUCAGCCACACUGGGACUGAGACACGGCCCAGACUCCUACGGGAGGCAGCAGUGGGGAAUAUUGGACAAUGGGGGAAACCCUGAUCCAGCGAUGCCGCGUGAGUGAUGAAGGCCUUCGGGUUGUAAAGCUCUUUUAUUGGGGAAGAAAUAAGACGGUACCCAAGGAAUAAGCCCCGGCUAACUUCGUGCCAGCAGCCGCGGUAAUACGAAGGGGGCUAGCGUUGUUCGGAAUUAUUGGGCGUAAAGGGCGUGUAGGCGGUCUUGCGCGUUAGGUGUGAAAUCCCAGGGCUCAACCUUGGAACUGCAUCUAAUACGGCAAGUCUAGAGUGCGAGAGGGUGGAGCGGAAUGGCGAGUGGAGCAGUAAAAUGCGUUGAUAUUCGCUAGAACACCGGGGGCGAAGGCGGCUCCAUGGCUCGUAACUGACGCUAAGACGCGAAGGCGUGGGGAGCAAACAGGAUUAGAUACCCUGGUAGUCCACGCUGUAAACGAUGAAUGCUAGAUGUUGGUCAGAUUGCUGAUCAGUGUCGUCGCUAACGCAAUAAGCAUUCCGCCUGGGGAGUACGGUCGCAAGAUUAAAACUCAAAGAAAUUGACGGGGGCCCGCACAAGCGGUGGGGUAUGUGGUUUAAUUCGAAGCUACGCGUAGAACCUUACCAGCUCUUGACAUGGAGGUCGUACGGCUAGGAGACUAGCUGGUCAAUUCGGUUGGACCUCACACAGGUGCUGCAUGGUUGUCGUCAGUUCGUGUCGUGAGAUGUUGGGUUAAGUCCCUUAACGAACGCAACCCUUAUCGUUUGUUGCCAUCAUUAAGUUGGGCACUCAAACGAGACCGCCGAUUUUAAGUCGGAGGAAGGUGGGGAUGACGUCAAAUCAUCAUGGCCCUUAUGGGCUGGGCUACACACGUACUACAAUGGCAGUGACAAUGAGCAGCAAAGGGGCGACCUGGAGCGAAUCGUUAAACACUGCCUCAGUUCGGAUUGUUCUCUGCAACUCGAGAACAUGAAUGUUAGAAUCGCUAGUAAUCGUAGAUCAGCGUGCUACGGUGAAUACGUUCCCGGGCCUUGUACACACUGCCCGUCACAUCAUGGGAGUUGGUUUUGCCUUAAGGCGGUGUACUAACCACGUAAGUGGAAGGAACCGACUACGGCGGGGUCGAUGACUGGGAUGAAGUCGUAACAAGGUA
This 1351-nucleotide ribosomal RNA is filed under the name metagenome. RNAcentral describes it as "bacterial SSU rRNA". It matches the Rfam family "Bacterial small subunit ribosomal RNA", at positions 138 to 1498 of the family's 1533-position model. The record is from RNAcentral.